RNAcentral lists this ribosomal RNA (397 nucleotides) under uncultured bacterium. RNAcentral's name for it is "partial 16S ribosomal RNA". It matches the Rfam family "Bacterial small subunit ribosomal RNA", at positions 523 to 918 of the family's 1533-position model. The record is from RNAcentral.
AUACGUAGGGGGCAAGCGUUAUCCGGAUUUACUGGGUGUAAAGGGCGCGUAGGCGGCUUUGCAAGUCAGUAGUGGAAGUCCAUUUUUCAAGGAUGGAAGUGCUACAGAAACUGCGGAGCUUGAGUGCAGGAGAGGUUAUCGGAAUUCCCGGUGUAGCGGUGAAAUGCGUAGAGAUCGGGAGGAACACCAGUGGCGAAGGCGGGUAACUGGACUGCAACUGACGCUGAGGCGCGAAAGUGUGGGGAGCAAACAGGAUUAGAUACCCUGGUAGUCCACACUGUAAACGAUGAAUGCUAGGUGUAGGAGGUAUCGACCCCUUCUGUGCCGCAGUAAACACAGUAAGCAUUCCGCCUGGGGAGUACGGUCGCAAGAUUAAAACUCAAAUGAAUUGACGGGG